Molecule: transfer RNA, 75 nt
Filed under: Sphaerodactylus townsendi
Lineage: Eukaryota; Metazoa; Chordata; Lepidosauria; Squamata; Sphaerodactylidae
Description: tRNA-Val
Rfam family: tRNA (bases 5-66)
About the family: Transfer RNA (tRNA) molecules are approximately 80 nucleotides in length. Their secondary structure includes four short double-helical elements and three loops (D, anti-codon, and T loops).
Source: RNAcentral
GCUGUGGCUCAGUAGAAGAGCCUCUGCUUUACAUGCAGAAGGUCCUAGGUUCAAUCACCAUCCUAGGUUCAAUCA